RNAcentral lists this ribosomal RNA (1880 nucleotides) under Kroppenstedtia eburnea. Its description in RNAcentral is "bacterial LSU rRNA". It matches the Rfam family "Bacterial large subunit ribosomal RNA", at positions 1161 to 2925 of the family's 2925-position model. The record is from RNAcentral. Lineage: Bacteria; Bacillati; Bacillota; Bacilli; Caryophanales; Thermoactinomycetaceae.
ACCUCGGUUAUGUUGAUCAAGCUUUGUAUCAACGAUGGGAGCAGUCAUACAGUAAACUGGGCAGGCAACUUCACAGCCUGCUGGAUAAAUGGAAGUCCAACAUCUGACCUCUUACUUCUGACCUCCAGUGUGGUAGGGGAGCGUCCCCAGUGCAUCGAAGUCGUGUCGUGAGGCACGGUGGAGUGCUGGGGAGUGAGAAUGCCGGUGUGAGUAACGAAAAGAGGGGUGAGAAUCCCCUCCGCCGAAAGCCUAAGGUUUCCUGAGGAAGGUUCGUCCGCUCAGGGUAAGUCGGGACCUAAGCCGAGGCUGAAAAGCGUAGGCGAUGGACAACAGGUGGAAAUUCCUGUACCACCUUCCGCCGUUUGAGUGACGGGGGGACGCAGGAGGGUAGGAGAUCGCGCUGUUGGAUAUGCGCGUCCAAGCGGUGAGGCUGAAGGGAGAGGCAAAUCCAUCCCUUCAAGGCUGGGCCGUGAUGGCGAGGGAAAUGACAGUACCGAAGUCUUUGAUCUCACACUGCCAAGAAAAGCCUCUAGCGAGGCGGAAGGUGCCCGUACCGCAAACCGACACAGGUAGGCGAGGAGAGAAUCCUCAGGCGCGCGGGAAAACUCUCGUUAAGGAACUCGGCAAAAUGACCCCGUAACUUCGGGAGAAGGGGUGCCCCGGCAGGGUGGUCUUCGGACUGCUCGAGGGGGCCGCAGUGAAUAGGCCCAAGCGACUGUUUAGCAAAAACACAGGUCUCUGCGAAGCCGCAAGGCGAAGUAUAGGGGCUGACGCCUGCCCGGUGCUGGAAGGUUAAGGGGAAGGGUUAGCACUCCCACCCCAAAAAGCACUACUUUUUGGGGACCCCGGGGGGAGCGAAGCUCUGAACCGAAGCCCCAGUAAACGGCGGCCGUAACUAUAACGGUCCUAAGGUAGCGAAAUUCCUUGUCGGGUAAGUUCCGACCCGCACGAAAGGCGUAACGACUUGGGCGCUGUCUCAACGAGAGACCCGGUGAAAUCGUAGUACCCGUGAAGAUGCGGGUUACCUGUGACAGGACGGAAAGACCCCGUGAAGCUUUACUGUAGCCUGAUAUUGGAUCUUGGUACGGUUUGUACAGGAUAGGUGGGAGCCGUGGAGUCCGGGCCGCCAGGUUCGGAGGAGGCACUGGUGGGAUACCACCCUGAUCGUGCCGGGGUUCUAACCGAGCACCGUGAUCCGGUGUCGGGACCGUGUCAGGUGGGCAGUUUGACUGGGGCGGUCGCCUCCUAAAGCGUAACGGAGGCGCCCCAAGGUUCCCUCAGCGCGGUUGGAAAUCGCGCGGUAGAGUGCAAAGGCAGAAGGGAGCUUGACUGCGAGACCUACAAGUCGAGCAGGGACGAAAGUCGGGCUUAGUGAUCCGGUGGUUCCGAGUGGAAGGGCCAUCGCUCAACGGAUAAAAGCUACUCCGGGGAUAACAGGCUGAUCUCCCCCAAGAGUCCACAUCGACGGGGAGGUUUGGCACCUCGAUGUCGGCUCGUCGCAUCCUGGGGCUGUAGUCGGUCCCAAGGGUUGGGCUGUUCGCCCAUUAAAGCGGUACGCGAGCUGGGUUCAGAACGUCGUGAGACAGUUCGGUCCCUAUCCGUCACAGGCGCAGGAAAUUUGAGAGGAGCCGUCCUUAGUACGAGAGGACCGGGAUGGACGCACCGCUGGUGUACCAGUUGUGUCGCCAGAUGCAUCGCUGGGUAGCCAAGUGCGGAAGGGAUAAGCGCUGAAAGCAUCUAAGCGCGAAGCCCCCCUCAAGAUGAGAUUUCCCAUCCUUUAUGGAGUAAGACCCCUCGAAGAUGACGAGGUAGAUCGGUCCGGGGUGUACGCGUGGCAACACGUUCAGCUGACGGAUACGAAUCGGUCGAGGACUUCUCCU